UGAACAGCCGAGGCACUGCAGGUCUAAGAACUAGUUACACCACUAUAGCAUCGAAAAAGUUACUGAUGAGUGAGUAGACAUCCAACUGACUUCUCAUAUUGAUCACACUCAAUAUCGUUGUUCUCUAACAACCACCUACACUCUGACUCUAGUGUUCUCAUACUAUAGACUCAAGACUCGUCUAUCCCUAAGGGAAGCGAUCUGUGCACCAAUCUUACUGGAUCAAUCACCAUCCCCAUGAUGAUCCUU
RNAcentral lists this long non-coding RNA (249 nucleotides) under Elaeis guineensis (African oil palm). RNAcentral describes it as "long non-coding RNA (EGUI_LNC066918)". The record is from RNAcentral. Lineage: Eukaryota; Viridiplantae; Streptophyta; Magnoliopsida; Arecales; Arecaceae.